This 457-nucleotide long non-coding RNA is filed under the name Chinchilla lanigera (long-tailed chinchilla). RNAcentral's name for it is "lncRNA (ENSCLAG00000026225.1)". Lineage: Eukaryota; Metazoa; Chordata; Mammalia; Rodentia; Chinchillidae. The record is from RNAcentral.
UGAUAAGAAGUAGGAAAAGGAUACUAAUAAAAUGGGAGUAGUUGUGUCAGUUCCUAUGCCAGUGUUCCCAGCACUGCAACAUUUUGCACUGAGGAGUCACAGCAGCUGGGAAACACUGUUGAGUUGUGCAGAACACGUGGUGCUGAGCCUUGUGCCCAGCUCCCGACUUUCUCUGUUGAUCAACUUGGUGUAGAAAUGCAGCAUUGCAAACUUCAUUUUUCAAUGAAGACAAGUACGAUUUGGCUGCGGGAGAAGAUGUUCUGGGAAGAGCACCAGCAACUCCCACACGGAUACAGGCACAAACUCUUCGAAGAGCUGGGAAGGAUCCCACCUGAACGGAGUGCCAGGCUCUGAGGUGCAGGUAAUGUGGGCUGGUAGGGUGGUAGAGCCUUGAAGGAAUCCGGAAUUUUUUUGGGCAAAAUGCCUCACAGAGCUUCUAGAGCAGGCAGUGGCCUGC